RNAcentral lists this non-coding RNA (955 nucleotides) under Cervus nippon yakushimae (Yakushima sika deer). RNAcentral's name for it is "12S ribosomal RNA". It matches the Rfam family "Bacterial small subunit ribosomal RNA". Lineage: Eukaryota; Metazoa; Chordata; Mammalia; Artiodactyla; Cervidae. The record is from RNAcentral.
CACAGGUUUGGUCCCAGCCUUCCUAUUGACCCUUAAUAGACUUACACAUGCAAGCAUCCACACCCCAGUGAAAAUGCCCUCCAAGUUAAUAAGACUAAGAGGAGCUGGUAUCAAGCACACAUCCGUAGCUUACGACACCUUGCAUAGCCACACCCCCACGGGAGACAGCAGUGAUAAAAAUUAAGCCAUAAACGAAAGUUUGACUAAGCCAUAUUAAUUAGGGUUGGUAAAUUUCGUGCCAGCCGCCGCGGUCAUACGAUUAACCCAAGUUAAUAGGCACACGGCGUAAAGCGUGUUAAAGCACUAUUCUAAAUAAAGUUAAAUUCCAAUUAAGCUGUAAAAAGCCAUAAUUGCAACAAAAAUAAACAACGAAAGUAACUUUACAGCCGCUGAAACACGAUAGCUAGGACCCAAACUGGGAUUAGAUACCCCACUAUGCCUAGCCUUAAACACAAAUAGUUAUAUAAACAAAACUAUUCGCCAGAGUACUACCGGCAAUAGCUUAAAACUCAAAGGACUUGGCGGUGCUUUAUACCCUUCUAGAGGAGCCUGUUCUAUAAUCGAUAAACCCCGAUAAACCUCACCAUUCCUUGCUACUACAGUCUAUAUACCGCCAUCUUCAGCAAACCCUAAAAAGGUACAAAAGUAAGCACAAUCAUAAUACAUAAAAACGUUAGGUCAAGGUGUAACCUAUGGAACGGAAAAAAAUGGGCUACAUUUUCUAAUCUAAGAAAAUCCAACACGAAAGUUAUUAUGAAACUAGUAACCAAAGGAGGAUUUAGCAGUAAACUAAGAAUAGAGUGCUUAGUUGAAUUAGGCCAUGAAGCACGCACACACCGCCCGUCACCCUCCUCAAGUAGGCACAAUACACUCAAACUUAUAUACACGUAUUAAUCAUAUGAGAGGAGACAAGUCGUAACAAGGUAAGCAUACUGGAAAGUGUGCUUGGAUAAAU